Molecule: long non-coding RNA, 1296 nt
Organism: Lathyrus oleraceus (garden pea)
Lineage: Eukaryota; Viridiplantae; Streptophyta; Magnoliopsida; Fabales; Fabaceae
Exons: 5
Source: RefSeq, a predicted model, not a curated record
CCAUCUUCUUGUGUCGUCUAUAAGAAAAAUUGCACGGUUGACUUAAUAUAUCCUUGUUAUGGUUUUAUGGACAAUCUUUCUCAAUUAUUAUUAUUUGAUUAUGCAACUGUGAAGUUGUUAUGAUCUGCUUGUGAUUAAUAUGUUCUUUUAUUUACCAAAAUUAUUUUGAAUUCAUAACUAACUUGAUCGUCGUAGUUUUUGCAGGUACCACACCUUUGGUGUGUCAUGCUAUGCUCAUGAGUAUGAUGAAACAGAAUGGAAAUGCAACAUCUUAAAAGCAUGGUAGGAAGUUUACCUUUGAUUUGAGCUGCUGGCCAUGCUUAACAGUCCGGUCUUCAACCGAGCUGAGUGAAUGAGAUUCAUUGACAUGGGGGGGCUUCUGAAACAUUGGAAAUGGGUAGAGGCUGAAAACUUUGGGUGUCAGGCUGUGUUUGAAGUGGGGAGUCAUGCCUCAAACUUUGGGUGUCCCUAGUGAAAGUUGAAGCAAAACAUUGGAAAUUUGAGUUAUUCUUCAUAAUGCCUAUUAAGCUCACGAGAUCUUGCGAAAGAAAUGGGAGAAGGAAGGUACGUACGCUCUUGUCAUGAAUAGAUCAAAAUGAGUCUUGUGGUCAUUUAAGGGAGAGCCAGCAGUUGAGGUUACAAAUGAAGGUGUUGAUGCUGCAGGGCAUACAAUUAGUACAGCUUUGGAGGUCAUUUCCAACUUAGGAAGGUACCACACCUUUGCUAUGAUCAUGUCAGUCUUGAGGCCCUUAGAGGGAACCUUUGAUUUGGAAGCAUAAUUCGGUCUGCACCCCAGCUAUUUUUCAUAUAGAGUUUCUUGCAUUACAUUAGAUUAAAUCACAUAAAUUUGUUAAUUAAUCUGUGGAACCUACACCUCCGAUCAAAGGUGUGUCCAAUGUUAGACACGUGUUGGUUUCUGUUUCUGACACCGAGUUACCACAUUCAAAUUAUUUAUUUUUUAAAAUUAAUACUGGUGUUGACGUCUCGUGUCCCAUGCUCAUAUUGUAUAAAAAAGUUUGAAAUCCAUAAUAUGAAAUUUCCAGUGCCUUGUUCUGGUCAUUGUUAUCCAUAUGUGGUAAAUGUGUCUUUAAUAGAUAUUGAUGUACAUCAACUUGAAAAUUUGCAUAUUGUUUAUAAUUCAUUUCAGAUCCUAUUAAUUUUCAACUAUGACUACCAAAAUCUUUUUAUUGGGACUUUAGAUAAAAAGUCAUCCUGCAUAUUAUUGUUGUUAAUUUAUUGUUUAUAAUAUGUUCUGAUUUGUAUAAAUUUGCUGAAGUGGUUUUCCUUCAAAUGUGG